AUUGAACGCUGGCGGCAGGCCUAACACAUGCAAGUCGAACGGUAGCACAGAGAGCUUGCUCUUGGGUGACGAGUGGCGGACGGGUGAGUAAUGUCUGGGAAACUGCCCGAUGGAGGGGGAUAACUACUGGGAACGGUAGCUAAUACCGCAUAACGUCUUCGGACCAAAGUGGGGGACCUUCGGGCCUCACACCAUCGGAUGUGCCCAGAUGGGAUUAGCUAGUAGGUGGGGUAAUGGCUCACCUAGGCGACGAUCCCUAGCUGGUCUGAGAGGAUGACCAGCCACACUGGAACUGAGACACGGUCCAGACUCCUACGGGAGGCAGCAGUGGGGAAUAUUGCACAAUGGGCGCAAGCCUGAUGCAGCCAUGCCGCGUGUAUGAAGAAGGCCUUCGGGUUGUAAAGUACUUUCAGCGGGGAGGAAGGCGAUGGAGUUAAUAGCUUCAUCGAUUGACGUUACCCGCAGAAGAAGCACCGGCUAACUCCGUGCCAGCCGCCGCCGUAA
This 504-nucleotide ribosomal RNA is filed under the name uncultured bacterium. RNAcentral's name for it is "partial 16S ribosomal RNA". It matches the Rfam family "Bacterial small subunit ribosomal RNA", at positions 30 to 523 of the family's 1533-position model. The record is from RNAcentral.